UCUGCGGGGCCGGGCAGAAAUUUUGGGGUGCGCGGAAGACGAGUGGUGGUGCAGUGGGGACGGUGAGGUGGAGGACGACUUGAUCGAGAGCCUCGGGCAUGGACUUGGGAACCAGAGGGUGGCGGCUGCACUAGGGACUGAUGUAGGGCGGGUCUGACCGGAGGCGGCAUCAAGGGGCCGAGUGAGCCACGGUACUGAGGGGAUUGCAUAGGGCCAUACCCGUCUCGCUCCAUUUUCUAACUAAGGGAUUGAGGGAGUCUGUUUGCUUCUUGAUUCCGAGUAUCAUGUAGACCGGCUAACAGAAUAGUCUGGACAGUGGGUGUCUUUGUUGAGGUCGGGGGAGCUGGACGGCGACUUUUUGUCUUUAUUCGGAGAAGCCCACUUCCACCCACAGAGUUGGGGCUCACACUUCCAAGUUUAUUUGUGUUUUGUCAUUUGUUUUCCAACCCAUCUUACCCCUUCCCAAGGUUUCAGAUCCUCAACGAUUUUUCACACGGGAAUGAUUUGCAAAGAGGUCCAAGGAAGUCGCUGUUGGAGGGUAGCCAAGCUGGAAGGGGGACGUUGCUUUGGCCCUGCAAAGUAAGAAGACAAGCGGCCCCAUAGAGUCAUACCCUCGAUUGAAAACGGCAUCUUUUCACCUACCAGCGAAAGCAGGGAGAUGUUUAAAGAAGAUAUUAUUGAUGAUAGGCCUACUGACGUCUAGCAAUCCGUUCUGGAGGAACACUGGUCUUGGAUACUCCUAAGGUAUCUGUCUACACUUUGACAAGAUGAGAAAUUUCUUCUUGAGGGUAUCAGAAGGGUUGAAAAUACUGAUAAUACUUUGUGCUGUUUUUAUUUUUUCCCUUUGCACAUUAUUCUGAAAACAAAUUAACUAGUUACUUGGGUCUCUGAAGGUAUUCACUACACCUUUGUGUUAGGAGUUAAUAAAAUUACAGCUGGAAGAUGUAUCCUCUGAUCAAAGAAAGGUUAGACAGAGUGAUUAAAAAUAACCAAGUCAUGGUAGAAAUAGUCUUUCAAAAGCAUGCAGGUGAUAACUGCAAAAACAGUGUUUUGAAGAAUGAUCUUAUUUCUCGUGUGUCCAGGAACAAGCCAUAAGAUGAAUAGCCUUUCUCAUUUUUAGGCAAAGGUAAUACGUGUUGGUAUCAUUUCUCUGUGAACACAACAGUGAAAGAGGCUUACACAGAUAUUUUGGUUAUGCAGAAACACUUUUGCAAGUAAUGGUGGUAAGUAUAAGAAAAGGAAUGACUCUACAGAUUUGCACUUAAGCCUUAAUUUCAGCCUUUUAAGUUAUUUUUAGGGGUUGGUGAUCAAGGAUGUUCUCAUCUUGUUUAUUUUAUAAGAUAUUAUCUUAUAUAAGCAACAGCCUCAAUUUGAAUUAUAUGGUGGACAAAUGUAUAGUGGAUAAAGAGCUCAGAAAUCUUGGGUGUAAAAAAUUUUACCUAUAGAA
This is a long non-coding RNA of Otolemur garnettii (small-eared galago), 1447 nucleotides long. RefSeq lists it as uncharacterized. The record is from RefSeq and is a predicted model, not a curated record. NCBI's taxonomy places the organism in Eukaryota, Metazoa, Chordata, Mammalia, Primates, Galagidae. The transcript is spliced from 2 exons.